CCUACGGGAGACAGCAGUGAGGAAUAUUGGUCAAUGGCCGAGAGUCUGAACCAGCCAAGUAGCGUGAAGGCUGACUGCCCUAUGGGUUGUAAACUUCUUUUAUAUGGGAAUAAAAUGUUCCACGUGUGGGAUUUUGUAUGUCUCAUAUGAAUCAGGAUCGCCUAACUCCGUGCCAGCAGCCGAGGUAAUACGGAGGAGCCGAGCGUUAUCCGGAUUUAUUGGGUUUAAAGGGCGCGUAGGUGGAUGGUUAAGUCAGUUGUGAAAGGUGGCGGCUCAACCGUAACAUUGCAGUUGAAACUGGCAGGCUGGAGCACAGUAGAGGGGGGCGGAAUUCGUGGUGUAGCGGUGAAAUGCUGAGAGAUCACGAAGAACUCCGAUUGCGAAGGCAGUUCACUGGACUGCAACUGACACUGAGGCACGAAAGUGUGGGUAUCAAACAGGAUUAGAGACCCCUGUAGUC
RNAcentral lists this ribosomal RNA (460 nucleotides) under uncultured bacterium. RNAcentral's name for it is "partial 16S ribosomal RNA". It matches the Rfam family "Bacterial small subunit ribosomal RNA", at positions 338 to 795 of the family's 1533-position model. The record is from RNAcentral.